Molecule: ribosomal RNA, 475 nt
Filed under: uncultured bacterium
Lineage: Bacteria
Description: bacterial SSU rRNA
Rfam family: Bacterial small subunit ribosomal RNA
Source: RNAcentral
CAGGCCUAACACAUGCAAGUCGAACGCGCUUGGACCUUUGGGGAGGCCCGCGAGUGGCGAACGGGUGCGUAACACGUGAGCGACCUGCCGGGUUGUGGGGGAUAACCGGGGGAAACCCCGGCUAAUACCGCAUGGGUUCUGGUUUCUUCAUGGAGACCGGAGCAAAGGUCUCGCAAGGCCCUGCCCUUUGAGGGGCUCGCGGCGUAUCAGGUAGUUGGUGGGGUAACGGCCCACCAAGCCGACGACGCGUAGGGGGUCUGAGAGGAUGGCCCCCCACAUUGGGACUGAGAUACGGCCCAGACUCCUACGGGAGGCAGCAGUGGGGAAUCUUGCGCAAUGGUCUAACGACUGACGCAGCGACGCCGCGUGCGGGAGGACGCCUUUCGGGGUGUAAACCGCUGUCAGCAGGGACAAAGGGAGGCAAUGCCCUUGUCUGACGGUACCUGCAGAGGAAGCACCGGCUAACUCCGUGCCA